UCCGGAGGGUGCAAGCGUUAUCCGGAUUUACUGGGUUUAAAGGGUGCGUAGGCGGGCAUGUAAGUCAGUGGUGAAAACCCGGAGCUUAACUUCGGAACUGCCAUUGAUACUAUAUGUCUUGAAUAUUGUGGAGGUAAGCGGAAUAUGUCAUGUAGCGGUGAAAUGCAUAGAUAUGACAUAGAACACCGAUUGCGGAGGCAGCUUGCUACACAAAUAUUGACGCUGAGGCACGAAAGCGUGGGGAUCAAACACG
Molecule: ribosomal RNA, 253 nt
Filed under: uncultured bacterium
Lineage: Bacteria
Description: partial 16S ribosomal RNA
Rfam family: Bacterial small subunit ribosomal RNA
Source: RNAcentral